GCGGGUAUAGCUCAGUGGCAGAGUGUGUGCCUAGCAAGCACAAGGUCCUGGGUUUAAUUCCUAGUACCUCCA
This 72-nucleotide transfer RNA is filed under the name Camelus bactrianus (Bactrian camel). It matches the Rfam family "tRNA". From Rfam's summary of the family: Transfer RNA (tRNA) molecules are approximately 80 nucleotides in length. Their secondary structure includes four short double-helical elements and three loops (D, anti-codon, and T loops). Further hydrogen bonds mediate the characteristic L-shaped molecular structure. tRNAs have two regions of fundamental functional importance: the anti-codon, which is responsible for specific mRNA codon recognition, and the 3' end, to which the tRNAs corresponding amino acid is attached (by aminoacyl-tRNA synthetases). tRNAs cope with the degeneracy of the genetic code in two manners: having more than one tRNA (with a specific anti-codon) for a particular amino acid; and 'wobble' base-pairing, i.e. permitting non-standard base-pairing at the 3rd anti-codon position. Lineage: Eukaryota; Metazoa; Chordata; Mammalia; Artiodactyla; Camelidae. The record is from Rfam by way of RNAcentral. RNAcentral also lists the same sequence under 2 other names.